Molecule: ribosomal RNA, 726 nt
Filed under: uncultured Providencia sp.
Lineage: Bacteria; Pseudomonadati; Pseudomonadota; Gammaproteobacteria; Enterobacterales; Morganellaceae
Description: bacterial SSU rRNA
Rfam family: Bacterial small subunit ribosomal RNA
Source: RNAcentral
GAUUAGAUACCCUGGUAGUCCACGCUGUAAACGAUGUCGAUUUGGAGGUUGUUCCCUUGAGGAGUGGCUUCCGGAGCUAACGCGUUAAAUCGACCGCUGGGGAGUACGGCCGCAAGGUUAAAACUCAAAUGAAUUGACGGGGGCCCGCACAAGCGGUGGAGCAUGUGGUUUAAUUCGAUGCAACGCGAAGAACCUUACCUACUCUUGACAUCCAGAGAAUUUAGCAGAGAUGCUUUAGUGCCUUCGGGAACUCUGAGACAGGUGCUGCAUGGCUGUCGUCAGCUCGUGUUGUGAAAUGUUGGGUUAAGUCCCGCAACGAGCGCAACCCUUAUCCUUUGUUGCCAGCACGUUAUGGUGGGAACUCAAAGGAGACUGCCGGUGAUAAACCGGAGGAAGGUGGGGAUGACGUCAAGUCAUCAUGGCCCUUACGAGUAGGGCUACACACGUGCUACAAUGGCGUAUACAAAGAGAAGCGACCUCGCGAGAGCAAGCGGAACUCAUAAAGUACGUCGUAGUCCGGAUUGGAGUCUGCAACUCGACUCCAUGAAGUCGGAAUCGCUAGUAAUCGUAGAUCAGAAUGCUACGGUGAAUACGUUCCCGGGCCUUGUACACACCGCCCGUCACACCAUGGGAGUGGGUUGCAAAAGAAGUAGGUAGCUUAACCUUCGGGAGGGCGCUUACCACUUUGUGAUUCAUGACUGGGGUGAAGUCGUAACAAGGUAACCA